This 465-nucleotide ribosomal RNA is filed under the name uncultured bacterium. Its description in RNAcentral is "partial 16S ribosomal RNA". It matches the Rfam family "Bacterial small subunit ribosomal RNA", at positions 338 to 795 of the family's 1533-position model. The record is from RNAcentral.
CCUACGGGUGGCAGCAGUAGGGAAUCUUCCACAAUGGGCGAAAGCCUGAUGGAGCAACGCCGCGUGGGUGAAGAAGGUCUUCGGAUCGUAAAACUCUGUUGUUAGAGAAGAAAGUGCGAGAGAGUAACUGUUCACGUUUCGACGGUACCUAACCAGAAAGCCACGGCUAACUACGUGCCAGCAGCCGCGGUAAUACGUAGGUGGCAAGAGUUAUCCGGAAUUAUUGGGCGUAAAGGGAACGCAGGCGGUCUUGUAAGUCUGAUGUGAAAGCCUUCGGCUUAACCGGAGUAGUGCAUUGGAAACUGGGAGACUUGAGUGCAGAAGAGGAGAGUGGAAUUCCAUGUGUAGCGGUGAAAUGCGUAGAUAUAUGGAAGAACACCAGUGGCGAAGGCGGCUCUCUGGACUGUAACUGACGCUGAGGUGCGAAAGCGUGGGGAGCAAACAGGAUUAGAUACCCCAGUAGUC